GGAUGGACGGACAUCAUGAAUCCAGACACACCGAAGUUACGCGCAUUAGCGGAAUUUGCUUACCUGGAUCAGCGACACCAUUAUCAAAUGUUGAAAAUACGCAUUAUUUCGGCUAAAAGGCAGGUUGUGGCGGGUAUAAACUACUACAUGGUAUUCACUGUCCAAGAUAAUCGAAGGCUCCUCGAGAAGUGCACCACUAAAAUUUAUGUUCCGCCAGUAGAUACACUGCGAAAAAGAAAGGUUGUCUCGAAGUUCUGCUGCAAAUGAGAAGUACCGAAGAUUCUCCGCACAACGAUACGUGUAACUAAUUUCUUCGUUGAACUGUAAGCGCUGCACAAAGUG
Molecule: long non-coding RNA, 342 nt
Organism: Dermacentor albipictus
Lineage: Eukaryota; Metazoa; Arthropoda; Arachnida; Ixodida; Ixodidae
Source: RefSeq, a predicted model, not a curated record